This 724-nucleotide ribosomal RNA is filed under the name Bacillus safensis. Its description in RNAcentral is "bacterial SSU rRNA". It matches the Rfam family "Bacterial small subunit ribosomal RNA", at positions 56 to 763 of the family's 1533-position model. Lineage: Bacteria; Bacillati; Bacillota; Bacilli; Caryophanales; Bacillaceae. The record is from RNAcentral.
UGCAAGUCGAGCGGACAGAAGGGAGCUUGCUCCCGGAUGUUAGCGGCGGACGGGUGAGUAACACGUGGGUAACCUGCCUGUAAGACUGGGAUAACUCCGGGAAACCGGAGCUAAUACCGGAUAGUUCCUUGAACCGCAUGGUUCAAGGAUGAAAGACGGUUUCGGCUGUCACUUACAGAUGGACCCGCGGCGCAUUAGCUAGUUGGUGGGGUAAUGGCUCACCAAGGCGACGAUGCGUAGCCGACCUGAGAGGGUGAUCGGCCACACUGGGACUGAGACACGGCCCAGACUCCUACGGGAGGCAGCAGUAGGGAAUCUUCCGCAAUGGACGAAAGUCUGACGGAGCAACGCCGCGUGAGUGAUGAAGGUUUUCGGAUCGUAAAGCUCUGUUGUUAGGGAAGAACAAGUGCGAGAGUAACUGCUCGCACCUUGACGGUACCUAACCAGAAAGCCACGGCUAACUACGUGCCAGCAGCCGCGGUAAUACGUAGGUGGCAAGCGUUGUCCGGAAUUAUUGGGCGUAAAGGGCUCGCAGGCGGUUUCUUAAGUCUGAUGUGAAAGCCCCCGGCUCAACCGGGGAGGGUCAUUGGAAACUGGGAAACUUGAGUGCAGAAGAGGAGAGUGGAAUUCCACGUGUAGCGGUGAAAUGCGUAGAGAUGUGGAGGAACACCAGUGGCGAAGGCGACUCUCUGGUCUGUAACUGACGCUGAGGAGCGAAAGCGUG